CCUAAAGUAGGUGGUAUGCUCCACCUAAGGCUAAAUAUAACUGUGAGACCGAUAGCAAACAAGUACCGUGAGGGAAAGUUGCAAAGAACUUUGAAGAGAGAGUUCAAUAGGACGUGAAACCGCUUGCAGGGAAACAGAUGGACCCACGAAGUCCUGUUGGGUAUGAGAUUCAGUGUUGUGCGAUGGUAUGUGUUGUACAGUUCAUGUACACUGGUCUCGAUCAGUGUUGCAUGUUGUUCAGCACAUAGAAAACCGUUGUACAGCACGCAUUUCUCUCAUUACCCACGCUGGAGCUCUGACUCCUCAUGAACGGUUGUUCGUGUAUUGCAAUAGCUUACAGUGGGUGUUUACUACGGUAUAUCACCACUGUAUUGCUAUGGCUUCGAAUAACUUGCAAUGAGGAGGUGAAUUAUGCACAGUAUUCACUGUGUGUAUGAUCAGGUUGUGUGGUGCCGUAAUGUGCGGUACAGAGUGAGUAGAUAAUAGGACCAUUCGUCUCUUGUAGAUGAAUACUUGUUACUCUAUCUCAUUCAUGAUGUACUCACUUAUGCAUCACUUGCAAGCAAUCCAGAGUAAGUAGGUCGGUCAUCCAUCUGA
This 597-nucleotide ribosomal RNA is filed under the name Piona coccinea. RNAcentral describes it as "eukaryotic LSU rRNA". It matches the Rfam family "Eukaryotic large subunit ribosomal RNA", at positions 286 to 647 of the family's 3401-position model. Lineage: Eukaryota; Metazoa; Arthropoda; Arachnida; Trombidiformes; Pionidae. The record is from RNAcentral.